RNAcentral lists this ribosomal RNA (485 nucleotides) under uncultured bacterium. RNAcentral's name for it is "bacterial SSU rRNA". It matches the Rfam family "Bacterial small subunit ribosomal RNA", at positions 28 to 507 of the family's 1533-position model. The record is from RNAcentral.
GAUGAACGCUAGCGGCAGGCUUAACACAUGCAAGUCAGGGGUAACAUGAAAAAGCUUGCUUUUCUGAUGACGACCGGCGCACGGGUGCGUAACGCGUAUACAACCUACCUUUUAGCGGGGAAUAGCCCAGGGAAACUUGGAUUAAUGCCCCAUAGUAUAUAGACUUCUCCUGAAGUUUAUAUUAAACAUUUAUGGCUAUUAGAUGGGUAUGCGUCCUAUUAGUUAGUUGGUAAGGUAACGGCUUACCAAGGCAGCGAUAGGUAGGGGUCCUGAGAGGGAGAUCCCCACACUGGUACUGAGACACGGACCAGACUCCUACGGGAGGCAGCAGUGAGGAAUAUUGGACAAUGGGCGAGAGCCUGAUCCAGCCAUGCCGCGUGCAGGAAGACUGCCCUAUGGGUUGUAAACUGCUUUUACAGAGGAAGAACCACCCCACGUGUGGGGGUUUGACGGUACUCUGCGAAUAAGGAUCGGCUAACUCCGUG